Molecule: ribosomal RNA, 431 nt
Filed under: uncultured bacterium
Lineage: Bacteria
Description: partial 16S ribosomal RNA
Rfam family: Bacterial small subunit ribosomal RNA
Source: RNAcentral
AGCGGACGCUGGCGGCAGGCUUAACACAUGCAAGUCGAGCGCCCCGCAAGGGGAGCGGCAGACGGGAGAGUAACACGUGGGAACAUACCUUUUGGUUCGGAACAACUGAGGGAAACUUCAGCUAAUACCGGAUAAGCCCUUACGGGGAAAGAUUUAUCGCCGAAAGAUUGGCCCGCGUCUGAUUAGCUAGUUGGUGAGGUAACGGCUCACCAAGGCGACGAUCAGUAGCUGGUCUGAGAGGAUGAUCAGCCUCACUGGGACUGAGACACGGCCCAGACUCCUACGGGAGGCAGCAGUGGGGAAUAUUGGACAAUGGGGGCAACCCUGAUCCAGCCAUGCCGCGUGAGUGAUGAAGGCCUUAGGGUUGUAAAGCUCUUUUGCCCGGGAAGAUAAUGACGGUACCGGGAGAAUAAGCCCCGGCUAACUUCGUG